AGGGAUCUAAGUUAACUUUCCGAUAGAUGGGGAUAAUGGUUUCCCCACUUGAUGGCUUCCUUAUUUUGCCGCUAGGUGGUAUCAAACGUAAGUCAGUAUGUGACCAGCAGAGUUCAUGGCGUACGUGCCACGACCCAUGAGGGAAAGAAUGCUUGAUAGAGAACACGAACCAACGGAAGCCCGAUUUUGAAGUUGGGAUUAAUACCCGUUAAUCUUCCUUUGAAAGCUACUCUUUAAUGACAGCUUGAAUAAAAUGUUAAACAUCAUUCUUCCAUGCCAUAUUGUUUGCAAUUAUAAUCAAUAUCGAACAAUCUUGAAUCAAUUGGAUCUAACAUUUGAAAGGUACAAGAAGUCUAUACCAAUGGGAAUUGGUGACAGUUUCACUAAUAAAGGGUUUUCCGCAUCACACCCUAAAGUUAAUUUGGGAAAGUAAUCAUAUGGCUGUGUUAUAUAUUCUGCUAAUUGGUUUUCCCUAUAGAAAUUUAAUUGUUAUGUUUUGUACAACAUUUUCCCUCCAGAACAAAUUUGCUGCAGGAUAAGCAAUUAUAUUCAUGCAGUUCUAGUAAAGAAAUACUAAUCAAUAUUUUUAUACCAAUAAAACAUGGUAUAUCAUGAGGUAAAAAACUGGGAAAAUAAUUUAGUGAAAUUUAUUGCACGUGUAUGAGAAAGUCUGUAAUAUAAGAUAAACUAUUACCUUGCUGGACAACUGAUACAGAAAAAUCUGCAUUAAAACAAAUCAGAGAAAAGUUUAAUGUACCAAUUAAGUUCCGGGACUUAUGAGAAUAUACUUACUGAAGCAAAGUUGAACAACAUACGCGUAAUAACUCCAUACUAUGACAGUAACUAUAAAAACAACCGGAAUCCAUUUUAGGGCACUACCACACGCCACACAACUAUUGACGAACUUGUUAACUCCAGCCAUUUUUUGCGAAUUCUAAUACUAAUACAAAUACUUAUAGAUGAAAAACGUGAUGAAGAUGGACACAUUGAUAUCAAUAUUUUCCAGUUAAUGAAUACAAACAGAAAACUGACAGUUCAUUUUACUGCUCCCCUAAGUCUCUUUGAUAUCAAUAUUUUCCAGUUAAUGAAUACAAACAGAAAACUGACAGUUCAUUUUAGUGCUCCCCUAAGUCUCUAACACUAGUCCCAAUAAUACCUGAAUGAAAGCGGCAUAGUUGCCAGAUGACAAAAUCAAAGGAAAUUCGCCCGAUGAACACAAAAUUUCAUUAGGUAGUCUGCGUUCUACGAGUUCACACCUGUGUCUGUGCUCUGUGUCCACUGUCUGGUAAGGAAGAUUAUCUCAAGAUCUAAGACCUUCGACUGAUGAAAAGAAUUAAAAUGAUCGUUAACCUGUUAGAAACUUUUAAAAUCAUGAUGAAGUUGUGAUUUUCGAAGGAAAGGCUGGUUGUAGCGAGCGAUGUGUAGGAUUCAGGACGAUUAUGAAUAACAGUCCUAACCUGCUUCAUGGAUACUUUUUCUUCUGAACACGUGGUGUGAAAUAUUUUUUCGGCGCGCUCCGUGGUGUGGUCACAGUUGUCUUUUUUAAGUUUCUUUCGUUUAUUACCAAGCUUUGUAACGGCAAUUAGAGUAUUCAAAAUCGAAAGUGAAAAUUGUCAAAAGAUUGCAAAUUUCCCAUUAUUAAAGACCUAGCUCUUUAAUGGAGAUGUCUUUCAUGAUAAACGUCUGCACUUUUCCAGUCACAGUGAGGGGAAAUUUGUCUUUAAACACCCAGUAUCGAGGAAUUUUGAAAACAAAAAUUCUUCAGUUCAAGAGGAUCUACAGUAGCCUGGGACUUAAUUCGAACCCAAGCACAAAUUUCUUCACCUAGUCUUUCAUCAGGCACCCCUAUAACCUAACUCAUAAAUAAACAUGUGCAAGCAGAGGAAUACCAACCUUUCGUGAUGGAUUGCUUUGAUUGCCUCCUUUGCGCUGAAGACAGAACUUGGAAAAACGCAGGUUGCUCCAUGUGAAGCUGCGGUUAAUACGCCAACCACACAUCCAGCGCAAUGGUACAGUGGAACAGGGACACAAAUCGUUUGGAGCUGUAAUCAACAUCACCUUGUUCCAGUUAAUUAGUUUAUCUGAUGCCUAACUAUGGAGGAAACGAAAUUUAUUUGCGAUCAAAGAAGAAACAAGGACGCAUUGCAUCGUGGAUCAAAAGAUGUAUCAGAAGUGAAAUAAAAGAACAGGCAAUGUGAGAAUACCGAACUAUAGAUUUUAUUGGUUCGGAAGGGGGUGAAUAGGGUAAGAGAUUGAAGCAAAAAUUAUUCCUUUCCAUGCUAAAUAAUUCAAUGUAGAUAUAUAUAUAUUUGUUAGAUUUCGUCAUUUUGUGUUAGAAGUCGCUUGGAACGAUUCAAUGUGACCAUAUGACAAGCUACAAAUUCUUUGCACCCUUUAGAAGAUCCGCUCUUUAUGUUUUAAGAUCUAAUUCUUUUACAGAAAGCUCUCUCAUAACGAAUUUUUGUACUUUUCCGGUCACCGUGAGGGGAAAUUCCUUUUUAAACAUCCAAUAUCUAGGAACUUUAAAAUAGGCCAUCUGUCAUUUUCAAUACAAACAAGUUCUACAACUCGAUAGCAUCGGCAGUAGUCUGAGACUUGCAACGGAUCCAAACACAGAUUUCCUCACCCAGUCUUUCAUCAGGAACUCCUACAACCUAUUUCAUAAAUUCAAAAUUUCAAUGUUUAUUUAAGAUUUCACCUGGAGUGUUGAUAGGUAGGAUUUCAUUGGUCGCAGGAUCGACGACUUUUACCUUCAAAUUCAACCGUUAUCUAUGAAGCAAGUUGGAUGUAAAAAAAGCACGUUACCUCAACGUGUUCGCAAGGAUAGCCAACAGUGGAGCACCGUACCUCAAAACUGUCUGUCGGUAACGUAACAAACGUACCUGGGCUGCAUUCCGUCAUUCCGUACAAAAUCUUUGUAGGAAAUUUAAGCAAUUAAUCAUUAUCUACGACCAAUAGAUCCAUAAUACCUGUGGACAGGCUUUUCAGGUCGUAUUGUUUCAAAUCCGGCAAGCUUAGGAUGUCGACAAACAUGGUCGGAGUUCCGUACAGAGAUGUGCAUCUUCAAUGAAAUACGCUGAAGACAGGACUGGGAAAAACACAAGUAGCCCCAUGUGAAGCAGCAGCCAGCACCCCGAGACCGCAUCCAAAACAGUGAUAGAGUGGAACAGGAACACAGAUGGUGUGCGGCUGACCAAGGAAACCACGGUUGAAAACU
This is a long non-coding RNA of Daphnia magna, 3217 nucleotides long. RefSeq lists it as uncharacterized. Lineage: Eukaryota; Metazoa; Arthropoda; Branchiopoda; Diplostraca; Daphniidae. The record is from RefSeq and is a predicted model, not a curated record. The transcript is spliced from 12 exons.